Long non-coding RNA from Micropterus salmoides (largemouth bass), 2156 nucleotides. RefSeq lists it as uncharacterized. Lineage: Eukaryota; Metazoa; Chordata; Actinopteri; Centrarchiformes; Centrarchidae. The record is from RefSeq and is a predicted model, not a curated record. The transcript is spliced from 2 exons.
AUCUGUGACACCUGAUUGAAAGCUACACUGAGCAGGUUUAUACUUGAGUAUGCCUAAGUUGUCUUCUGCCCCCCAGCGACUAAACGUCUUUUAACAAUCUAAGUGCCCAUUAAUUCAUGCCGAGUUUGGUAAUAACCCAAAGUUAAUAUCCUUUAAGUUAGUCAGCUGUACGCAGGAUAUUCCAAAAAUAUCUGAGUGGAUAAAAUAGUUUAUUUUAUGUGUGUUAACAUUUGUUUUCAUUAACAGGUGCACCGCUUUUACCUCUAGCUGCUCCCCCUGCCAAGGACUCGCCCAGUAACAACACCAACGGCUAGACAAAUAGUGUUCUGGAUGAAAACAGACGAAAUAAUGAGGAACUGCUUAAUUUCUGCAGAUAAUAUAAUUACAUACAUGAAGAUUCACUUUGCUCUCUGGAACCAAAUUUAGCAAUUCAACAGAUACAUUUACUGUGGGAUACAAACGUAAACCGUGAACCUUCAAUAUUCAAACAGCACCGACUUGUUGUUGUAGCACUUUGUACCUUGGAAACAGAUGGAUGAGCACUAAGUAAAAGUUAUAGUGCUUAUCUAAAAUAGUUAAAAGUUGAAUGAGCUUGUUUUUGUCAGGGUUAAAAGAUCGUAGGUCAGGUUUGGAUUCAGGAUGAUUUAGAAAAGUAUGAAAAAAUUAAAGCACCUUAAAGAGAAAAAAAAUAUGUUGUUGGAUCAGAGAUCUUAAAUGCUAACAUUUACAACUAAAUUUCCACCAGCGCUGAAAGUAAAUGGAAUAAAGUCAGUGAUGGAAACAGCUGUUUGUUCGUCACGCUGUCAGUGAAAAAAGGUUUUCAGUAUUGCAAUCAAGGUGGGUGGGACACUGGGGGGGUUAAAUUAAUGGACAUUUUUUAUUAUAUAUAUAACUAUGAUAUAUUAAUAUAAUCAUAUUGACGAAAUUGAGUCCUUUACUUAUAUAAUUUGCAUAAUUGAAUCCAUUUACUACAAAUGAUAGUAUGCUUCACAUUACUGCUAACAAUCCUCAGGAAAACUCAAUUUAUUUUAAUUUUAUGCUGUGAAAACAUUGACUUUAGACUUGCUGCAGAUGAUCCACAACAGGAAACGUAACUUUUACAAUAAAUACAGCAGGUGGAUUAUUCAACCUGAGGAUGUUUUAAAUUCCACAAGAUUAAAGUGCAUGGAAACCAAUGGCUACCUCAAAACACACAAUUGGAAAGAAGCUUUUAGCGCUUAGUUCAGUAAACGUGAUUUGUAGUAAAUGAGCUAAAAUGCAUAAAUACACUGGUAUGAUCAUUUAAGUAGUCACAGGGUUCAGCCUGGAUUAAAAAGAAGUAAUCAAUGUAUUUUCAAAUGGGUGAAAAUCAUUGAUCAUUUAAAGCAAAUUACUGCUUAAAUUCAUUUAAUACUCUGUUGUAAAUAAUGUUUUUAUUGUUUAAGCUCUUAAAAAGUGCCUUUUUACCGCCUGUUUAUCUGUCACUAUAAAAUAUGCUCACUGAUUGAUUUAUAGGACUUUGAAUUAAGAAUUUCAUCAGUUCUUUACUCCAAGAUUAAAUUAAUACUGUUUGCAGAGUUUUACUGUAAACACAUUAAUUUAGUGACUUACUGGUAAAUUGUUUUUGGUGGGUUUUUGCCUUAAACAAAUGUAAUAUAUUUUUUAUUUGUUCUUUGGCACUUAUGUAGUCAGCAAAUAUGGAAAUAUUAUUAUCCAGCUGUUUAUUUUUUAAAGUGUGAGGAUCGUUUGCUUAUUUACCUGUGGUGUAACAUUCACUCCUGGGGAUAAUAUUUCUUUAAAUAUCUUUUUUUCUUUGGAAAUAAAAUGAAAUGACAUUUGAAGAAAUCUCCAGUGAAUCCUAAAGUCUGCAUUAUGUUAUGUAGUUUGUCAGCGAUAACAUGGAUUGUAAGACUGUAGUGGAGAUUAUUAAAUAUUUGCAGCUACUGUCUAAAAAGUUAUAAUUAGUCAUUAAUAUUUAAUUGUGAAUCUGUGUGCCAAAAUUUUUGGAUAGAAAUUCAAUUCUAUUUUUUGUAUGGUUUCUUUAAAAGGCCAAAGCCAAAACAUGAUCACAUUAGUAUUUCCCCUUUUACUUGUGUUGUCUCUUUAAAUGUUCCCUGUUUGGGGGUUGUGGUGUUUGAAACAUGUGCUCAUGUUAAAUAAAGGCAAUCAUAACAAAA